RNAcentral lists this RNase P RNA (303 nucleotides) under bovine gut metagenome. RNAcentral's name for it is "Bacterial RNase P class B". It matches the Rfam family "Bacterial RNase P class B". From Rfam's summary of the family: Ribonuclease P (RNase P) is a ubiquitous endoribonuclease, found in archaea, bacteria and eukarya as well as chloroplasts and mitochondria. Its best characterised activity is the generation of mature 5'-ends of tRNAs by cleaving the 5'-leader elements of precursor-tRNAs. Cellular RNase Ps are ribonucleoproteins. The record is from RNAcentral.
UUAGACAAACGCGGGAGCUCAUUUGAGGCUCCUGAGGAAAGUCCAUGCUCACACAAACUGUGAUGUUUGUAACGAUCGUGCUUAGGGAAAAAAUAACCUAAGGUAGUGAAAGCUAACGACAAAUUAAAGUGCCACAGUGACGAUGCUCUAUUUUUGUAGAGAGUGAAACGAGGUAAACUCCACGAGUGAGAAACCCAAAUUUUGGUAGGGGAGCUUUAGCGAGGUAAUUAAGAACCAGUGCUAGGGACUAGAAAUAGUAGAUAAAUGUUUGUCGCCUUUUAAAGGUACAGAACAUGGCUUAUU